AGCUUUCCGGGUGGCGUCCAUGUUUUUUCUCCGACUCGGACGCGCAAAACAUACCAGAACGCUUGAAGUGUGGAAGUGACGUCAUAUCCGAGGUCCGAGUUGGUUCGUUGAGAAUAAUGGAACGCACCAUAAGUUCAGUUUGUAGGCCUAAAA
Molecule: long non-coding RNA, 153 nt
Organism: Sander lucioperca (pikeperch)
Lineage: Eukaryota; Metazoa; Chordata; Actinopteri; Perciformes; Percidae
Exons: 4
Source: RefSeq, a predicted model, not a curated record